RNAcentral lists this ribosomal RNA (257 nucleotides) under uncultured Leptotrichia sp. RNAcentral describes it as "partial 16S ribosomal RNA". It matches the Rfam family "Bacterial small subunit ribosomal RNA", at positions 97 to 355 of the family's 1533-position model. The record is from RNAcentral. Lineage: Bacteria; Fusobacteriati; Fusobacteriota; Fusobacteriia; Fusobacteriales; Leptotrichiaceae.
GGCGGACGGGUGAGUAACGCGUAAGAACUUGCCCUUUAGACUGGGAUAACAGAGGGAAACUUCUGAUAAUACUGGAUAAGUUAGUAUAUCGCAUGAUAUGCAAAUGAAAGCUACGGCACUAAAGGAGAGCUUCGCGUCCUAUUAGCUAGUUGGUAAGGUAAGAGCUUACCAAGGCGAUGAUAGGUAGCCGGCCUGAGAGGGUGGACGGCCACAAGGGGACUGAGAUACGGCCCUUACUCCUACGGGAGGCAGCAGUC